RNAcentral lists this long non-coding RNA (2155 nucleotides) under Sus scrofa (pig). Its description in RNAcentral is "lncRNA (ENSSSCG00005023443.1)". Lineage: Eukaryota; Metazoa; Chordata; Mammalia; Artiodactyla; Suidae. The record is from RNAcentral.
UUUUUUUUUUUCUUUUUUAAGGUAGACUAACAAGUGGUCUGUGGAUAUAAUCUGCCCUUAAAGGAAAGGACACAUGACACAGUAAAAAGAAGACUGGUGCAGCAGGUUAAGGAUCUGGAGGUGUCACUGCAGCAGCUUGGGUCAGUGCUGCGGCUCACGAUCAGUCCCUGGCCUGGGAACCUCCUAUGGUGCAGGCAUGGCCAAAAACAAACAAACAAACAAACAAACAAAAAAACCAGACAAGAACUGAACAUCUUUAUGCUGUUUUGAAAUUUCCUAUUUAUUAUUUAUUUAAAUUCAAUUCUUGGUACUCCUCAUAAGGCAGCUGAACUCAUAAAAUCUAAGCAUGUUAACAAAAGAUAAGAAAUUUUAGAAAUUAGGAAGUAUUUCCAAUUUUUCUCUGAGCUACAAACACAUGCGUGACAGAUAAAAAAAUAGUGCAGUUAAGAAUAAUUUGGGAGUUCCCGUCGUGGCGCAGUGGUUAACGAAUCCGACUAGGAACCAUGAGGUUGCGGGUUCUAUCCCUGCCCUUGCUCAGUGGGUUAACGAUCCGGCAUUGCCGUGAGCUGUGGUGUAGGUCGCAGACGCGGCUCGGAUCCCGAGUUGCUGUGGCUCUGGCGUAGGCCGUUGGCUACAGCUCCGAUUCAACCCCUAGCCUGGGAACCUCCAUAUGCCGCGGGAGCGGCCCAAGAAAUAGCAACAAUAACAACAAAGACAAAAAAAAAAAAAAAAAAGAAUAAUUUGAAGGAAUCUCUAUAUUUUAGAAUCUCUAGGGCUUUAUAGAUUAAAAUAGAAAGAUCUAAUUAACCCUUAAGAUGUCUUUGGGCAAUAAAAGGGCAAAAUAACAAGUCACUAUAAUACCAUAUAAUAACUGCUAAAAUAUAACUGUGUUGAAUUACAAAUAAAAGGUUUUUAAUGCUAGAACUGCCAAAAUGUUGAGAGGAAAAAACAAGAAUAGCAAGUAAAGUAUAAUAACACAGCUACAACAACUAAUACAUAGUAUGGAGAAAUACCUAGGAAGGACUGAGAACUUUAAAUCUGAUUAAGGAGCCAAACAGCAAAAACCCGGUGUUCAACUCACCAUUUGAAAAUGGCCAAAGAAUGCACAAAGCUCUUUUGCAAAUCUUGCACUUUCAAAAGGAAAUGUGUUUCAAGUGUUACUCAAUCUGGAAGUAGCAAUGUGCUUGAAGUUGUCAAUAUGUGGAUUUUAGAGGCUUUCAAUGAACAGAUGUUUUCCCUUCAAUAAAAUAUCUUUUCAUAAAAAAGCCUAAUUUAUGAGCUAGACUUCCUUGAAAAGUAAAAGUUCAGAAUACCUCUGAGAUUUCCAUCCCUUUUCCUGUUAUCACUCAUGAUCAUCCCAAGAACCAAACUGCUCCCCAAUGAAACCAGUUGCCUCUCCUCUGCUCUCUCCACCGUUUCUGAGACAGUGUACCUGUAACAGGAAAACCCCUCCAGUAUGAGUCCUAAGCCUAGAAUUUGUUUGUACUUUGACAACGUAGGGUCAGGUCUUUUUCAUCUAAUGGUAAAGGGAAUAAUGUGGUUAUUCAAAAGAUGAAGAUGAAAACGGAAAUCCCAGAUUUUACAUAUUAUUGUUAUGGGAAAACCAUACUGCCAAAUCACUGGAAUUAUCACUGGAAAAAAUUACAACUACAUUCCGAUGAUGUUGCACCAAAAAUGCAAAAGAGAUCCUUUAGAUUUUUCCAAGUAUUGACCACGUUAUCAUAUUUUCCAUUCAUUUGGAGGUAAAUGAAAGCUAAAAAGAAAAAAAUAAAUGAACUAAGUAACAACAUCACAACGUGCUUCUAACUAAAAACAAAUGAUGUAAUUUUAUUAUUUUCCAGGACAAUUUCCAAGUCACUUGUUUCAGAUUCCAGCCUAUAAUGGUGAAAAAUAUGAAAUGUAGUGAUUUUGGAGUUCCCGUCAUGGCUCAUCAGAAACGAAUCUGACUAGUAUCCAUGACGAUGCAGGUUCGAUCCCUGGCCUCGCUCAGUGGAUUAAGGAUCUGGCGUUGCCGUGAGCUGUGGUAUAGGUUGCAGAUAUGGCUCGGAUCCCACGUUGCUGUGGCUGUGGUGUAGGCUAGCAGCUGUAGCUCCAAUUUGACCCCUAGUCUGGGAACUUCCAUAUGCUGCAGGUGGGGCUCUAAAAAGACAAAAAG